AUGACGCUGGCGGCAUGCUUACACAUGCAAGUCGAACGGCAGCACGGGAGCAAUCCUGGUGGCGAGUGGCGAACGGGUGAGUAAUAUAUCGGAACGUACCUUUCAGUGGGGGAUAACGUAGCGAAAGUUACGCUAAUACCGCAUAUUCUGUGAGCAGGAAAGCAGGGGAUCUUAGGACCUUGCGCUGAUUGAGCGGCCGAUAUCAGAUUAGCUAGUUGGUGAGGUAAAGGCUCACCAAGGCGACGAUCUGUAGCGGGUCUGAGAGGAUGAUCCGCCACACUGGAACUGAGACACGGUCCAGACUCCUACGGGAGGCAGCAGUGGGGAAUUUUGGACAAUGGGCGCAAGCCUGAUCCAGCCAUGCCGCGUGAGUGAAGAAGGCCUUCGGGUUGUAAAGCUCUUUCAGCCGGGAAGAAAACGCAUGGGUUAAUACCCUGUGUGGAUGACGGUACCGGAAUAAGAAGCACCGGCUAACUACGUGCCAGCAGCCGCGGUAAUACGUAGGGUGCGAGCGUUAAUCGGAAUUACUGGGCGUAAAGCGUGCGCAGGCGGUUUGUUAAGAUAGGCGUGAAAUUCCCCGGGCUCAAACCUGGGAACUGCGUUAUGACUGGCAGGCUAGAAGUAUGGCAGAGGGGGGUGGAAUUCCACGUGUAGCAGGUGAAAUGCGUAGAUUGUGGAGGAACACCGAUGGCGAAGGCAGCCCCCUGGGGUUAACCACUGGACGGCUUCAUGGCACGGAAAAGCGUUGGGGGGAGCCAAACCGGGGAUUUAGAUACCC
This 778-nucleotide ribosomal RNA is filed under the name uncultured bacterium. Its description in RNAcentral is "bacterial SSU rRNA". It matches the Rfam family "Bacterial small subunit ribosomal RNA", at positions 30 to 787 of the family's 1533-position model. The record is from RNAcentral.